CUGAAUUUAAAUGGAACCACAAGAAAUCUGCAACACUGACGAACGACACACACCAUUUGCUUCUUGCAGGCCAUAGCAAGAAACAUGAACAGGAACAUCUGAGCUGCCUGGGAACAGGAUCAGCAUCAUGGGCUGUUCUACCAGGGAAGACGGUCACGAUGUGGAAGAUCACAGAAAGAGGUGCUCAGGCACUAAAUAUCACACACAUGCUGUUCAAUGUUAAUGACAUACAAAGUGAGCAGUGACAGCUAGAACACUUUUUGCAUCCUGUGAAUGUUGGAAAACAAAGCACAGACAUAUAAGAAAGCUGGCUGAGGAUGCAAGCCUUGAGUCCAAGUCUCUUUCAUCCAUACAGUACUUAAUUGAAGACUCUACAUUGGUUGCAGGACACAGAGAAAUCAUGCUGGAACUGGGCUGGAAGUUUCUUCCUUUCUGGCUUGCUUUCACGUUGUUGGGAGUGCUGUACAUGCCUCUGGUGGAUAAAAAUCUCCAAUAUUGAGCUAGAGACCCUGAGUGUUACAUUACUGACUGUGCCUAUGUGUGCAUUAGUGGCUGUGACAAGGUAGCCAACGGCUUUCUGAUUGGACUGACACUGAAGGAGUGAUUUCAUGUGCGGCCUAUGAUGGUUGUAUACAGUGGAAGAAACCUUUCAUGGUAAAAAGAGAGAAAGGAAGAGCACGGCACACUCCCAUCCGUUCAUCUCUUGAAUGUUCUGUCACCUCCCAACACUGUCAUGGGCAGGGGAUCAAGCCUCUAACACAUGUCCUUUCAGGAGAUGCUUUCCCAUAGUUGCAUUGUCUACUUAGACAGGUAGACCCAUCUUGCUUCUGAUGGUGAAGUGUUGCCUCCUGGCCUCUGUUACUUCAGACUGGAAUAUCCCAUGAGUCUACAGAAAAAGGUGAGCUUCUCAGUGAGGCCAGUGCUCUCAUCCCUGCCUUUGUGGCCCCCAAGUCAUGACAUAUUUCUUAUUGUCUCAGUGAAAGAGCUGUCCCCUUUCGAGUCCAUCAAAGAAUUUAGUCAUGCGCUGGGCUUCAGUUCUUACAGACCAUUACCCUGUGUCUGCCUCUCAGAGCCUCUUGACCUCUUCUUUGGUCCUGUCAAAAUGUCUCUACCUUUCAGCUCCAUUGCCUACAGGCUAGCGUUUUUACCUUAAACUUCAGGGAACUAUCUUAGUAGGACGGAAGUGACAUUAGAUCUUAAGGCAUUAAGUCCUCAGUUACAGGUUAGUGUUCUUGGUUCAAUAACCUCUCCCUUAUAUUAUGCCAUCCUGGCCUAGUGUGCUUAUCACUGACUUCAUUUUUUUCCGGGUCUUAUAAGCCACAUCUGUAGUUAUUUUCUUUUGUAAAUUAUUUUCCUAGUCGAGGUAAGAUUUGAUCUUUGUCUGACAACUUAGUAGCCUAGAAACCAUGAGGGAAUGUAGGGGUAUUCCACAAGGGAAGCAAAUAUGUCCUGUGAGUCAUUUACUUUAGGAUGGCUCCUAGUGGUCUCUAGGACAGGAGAGACUGCAACCCCAUAACAAAGGGGGAGAGAAUCAUUGUAUUUUUUAUUGGCAUAUAUUGUUUGCACAAAAUAAUGCUUUUUAUUGUGACAUUUUCAUGUACGUACACAAAGCACCUUAACCAUAUCCACCUCCCCUCAUCACUGUCUCUUGUUCCCCUGCCUCCUGAUGAUCACUCCCUCCCCAAACAGUCUACUUUAUGUCCUUUCUAAAGAUUUGUUUGUAAUUGUAAAUUAUGUGUAUGUGUGUAUCUCUGUGUGGGUGUGUGCAUGUGAGUGUAGAUGUCCACAGAGACUAAAGGCAACUGAUCUCUUGAAGCUGGAGU
Molecule: long non-coding RNA, 1823 nt
Organism: Mesocricetus auratus (golden hamster)
Lineage: Eukaryota; Metazoa; Chordata; Mammalia; Rodentia; Cricetidae
Exons: 3
Source: RefSeq, a predicted model, not a curated record